UCAAGAGAAAUACUGAAAGAAACUUCUACCAUGCAUCACAUGGGCUAUAAAAAAGACAGAAAAUCUGAAAAAUCUUCUUUUCUUAAUGAUGCAAAAAUAUAAUUUCCAGUUCUGUUUUAUCCUAGAAGCAGACCUUGAUCUGGCCCUGAUGAAAGGCUAGAUUUUUUACACCCCAGAUUUCCUAACACAGCAUGUUGUUGAGAACCUCAGUUUAGACAGAAAGCAAUACUUGAGCAAGUUUUAGCAGAAGCUCCUUGAAACUGCUCAGGUUUUCAAGUAGUUCUGCCAGAAGAUAUAUAUACUGGAGAAAAUACAGGUGAAGCAGUCUAACCUGCAUAAUAACUAAAUGCAAAACAUGUAACAAUGUAUACUUUAUCACUGCCACAGUAUAUAAAAUACAUACAAUCGGGUCAAGGAGAAAGGAAACCUGGGUUAUUGCUGUUGGUGAGACACACACAUAUUUCCACUUCCAUGUAAGGUCGUAUUUACUAUGUUGUAAAGAGAAAAUACAGAAAAACACCUUCCCUCCGAGAGAGAUCAUUUGUCUUGCUACAAUAAUCUUAUUUCAUCUUGUAAUUGGAAACACUGUGCAGCAAUUAGAGCAAGGAUGUUUGCUGUAUUGUACAAAGAAACAAACCUAGACAAGACUCUUACUUUAUCAUCCAAAAUAACAUCUAGAAGCCAUGGAUGAAGUUUGAAAAUUCUUAUUAAAACUGGCCUGGAUUAUUUGCAGUGCAAGCCUUCUAAAUCAUGCAACCUGCUACAAUCUAGUCUGUAAGAAGGACGUGAUACACCUAAAGCCAGCAAGUUAAAUUCUGACAUUACAUCUUGGAUAAAUGUGGUGCGCUGAUGAGUCAUGAAACUGUUACUGGAAAACAGCUAAUCAUUACUGAAGGAUUCCACUUGCUUUUUUCAGGGACCUCCUGACUGGAGAUGUCAGGCAUGAAAACAGAAGAAUCAAACUAAGAAAAAUCAGAGAAGACUGACCUUCCACCUGGGGGAAAGAAUUAAGAGCAUGCUGCUUGCUAGGUCUCUAUCUCCACCAGUACCUUAAUGCACCACAUCAGGAUAUCUUGAAUGCUAUGAACACCACUACAAACAUAACCAUACUGAUGGAAGCCUCAGAACACUCACUUGAAGAAGUGCUCAUCUGUGAGGAAAACAAUAAUGCAACAGGACCACCUCACACUAAACAGAAAACAAUUCAAGAUAACUUGGAAUGAAACACAUGCUUUCAUAGGAAACUCUGUUUUGAUGUUUCUCUCCAACAAAUUCCAGGCAAAGGAACUACAGCAGUUCCUAAUGGGAUUCACCUCUAUUUGCUGCCAAACAUCUGUGCUCUUAACUACAACUUGCUGCCAGCUUCAGCCUAUGUCCUGACAUUGCUCAGCAAUGCUUUAGAUAAAGAGCAAGGGUAAAGGAGGUGGGGGGAAGGUUGCUAUCCUGUCCCCUAUCCAAAUGAAAAAAAAAAAAAAAAUCUCUAAGACAUAUGGUCUUGCAUAAAAUAACCAUCAGAGAGAAGCCUGGUGCAGUGUCAGGUUAGUGAGAAUAUUCCAAUUAUACAAUGUCUAAGCAGUACCUCAUUUGCAGUCACUGAGUAAACUACAUGUAGAUGACAAGACUGUGGGUCAUAAGAGAUGUGUAUUUUAACAGUAUCAGAACCUUUACCCCCAAAUUAUUAAAAACAACCCUAAACCCAUUAUUUAUCAAGUAAUAUAAAUAAGAAUCAAGAGAAACUAUUAUUUUCUGUAACAGGAAAAAAGUUGUUUGGGCUAUUUAGCUUGCCUUUUCUUUUUUUUAUUAGUAAGGAAAAUCUGGCUUGAAGAAACUUAUCACCAAGGAAAUACUAGAUUUCAAUUGGACUUGGGAGUGUUUCAGUUUAAGCAAGUUUUACAGCAUCUCUUAUGUAAUAGAACUGAUAGCCAUGCAGGGAUAACUGACAAGUCAAAUCCAGAUCAGAAGGCACAUGCAUGCUCACACAAACUGGAACCAUGUCAGUCAUGUUGCUGGCUUAUCAAGCUCUGUUCUCCAGGAGAACAUUAUAUGGUUUGUAAUAUGUCAGAGAAUGUCAAAUUAAGGGCUGCACAGCAGUGAAGGGUAGAGCAGAAAGCAUUCUAUUCCAGGCCAUUGAUUCCUUUUAACAACUACAUGCAGUAAUUCCCAAAACUAUCUACUCAGUCUCAAUCACAUGGAAAACAUAGCACAAUGUUAGUUCUAAACCUUGCACCCAGUGCAGCUUGAUUAUUAGACCAUCCAAGGGGAUUAAAGAUGAUUGAUUUAAUCAGAAUAAUUCUUUUAAUGAUAACUUGUUGCAUUUCUCUUCCCCCCACCUCCUUAAAUGUUUAAUAGUUCACUUCCUGGAUUCCCAGUGCAUAAACUGAGCAUAUUUUCUUCCUACAGGAAAUGAUCCAAUUAAGUUGAUGUAUAAUUGAUAAUGAACUGUUUAAGCUGAUUUUUCUCUUGAAAAAAAUCUUAAGAGCAUGCAGUAGUUGCCUGACCCUUCUUCCCUCAUCUGCAGCUGAGGGACAUAAUUUAAGGAAAAAAGGGGGAGCAGUCUCAACAUACUCUAAGCAAGGUAGACUAGGGAGGAAUUUCAGCUCUAGUGAGCUGAGCUGGCUCAGGGCAAAAAUAUUGACUACUUGAAAAUCAUUUAGUCCCUGAUUACUACUCAAUAAUCAAGUUGCUUGCAACUUGGCCAGUGAGACACAAGGAGUUUAGAUACAAGUGGCUCGGUAAACAUUCACAUUAGAGAUACUGUGCAUGUACCAGAACGUCUUAACAUUGGUGCACUAAGUGUUGCAGUUGCUAAGCUUCCCAUUCUCCAUAAAUAUGAACUCUGCCAACCUGUCUUGUUGCCUUAAAGCAGGUAACAGUGGGAAAUGUUGAUAGACUCCUACAAGUUUAGUAAUUUACUAUCACUCUAGUGCAAUGUCAAAAAUUGAUGUAGGGAGACUGGAACAUAUUUUUGUAAAGUCAUUGCAGUAAGUUUUACAAACCCAAAAGCUUAAAAUUGUUCUUAAUUUGAAACAGUUCUUGCCUACCUCAACACAACUGACUACCACUUGCUAGGUUUUGUUCUUUUCCUUGCUCUGGCACCAACUCACUGUCCAACAUGGGUCACUUCUCUCUCUGUGCCUCUCUCCCUGCUGACUUUUUGUUAGACUGUAAGGCCUAUAGGUACAGGCCUGCUUUACAUCAAGUCUUGUCAACAGGCUAUGUGGCUCCACUUUCUACUGAAGUAUCAGGGUACAAGUGUUGUGACAGUGACUAUCACCACAUUGAAGAUAAGUGACUAGCUAGGCAUUGAGAGCUGUUGAGCAUGACACUAUCACAUACAUUUUAUGCAGUGCUUCAUUUUGGCCCCCACUGAUCUGGCUUGUCAUCAAUCCAUCUAACUCAAAGGUAGGAAUGUAUUGUCACGUACAAUGAUUGAUACAGGUACCAUCUACCUGACAUGGAAUCUCUCUAUAUUCAAUAGAUAUCCUUCACCAUUGCUCAAAUGAAUCUCAAUUCUCAAGGGAUUUUGCUGACUGUUCUUUACAAUCAGAGCAGACUUCCCUCUAUCAUCAACAAGAAUUUUACUGGAAUUAAUUUUUACAAUUAGGCAGUAAGAUUUUUACAGCACUACCUGCUUAGACCACUUUAGUAAGACUCUGCCACUGGGUAUGUUAUUAAUAUAUUUUCUCAAAGGACCGUGGAUGCUUUUAAUCCUUUGUUCAAUUUUACUGUUCCUAGGUAUGCUCAUUUUAUGCUUCUAAGUAACUCCACUUUAGCCUUGGAGUUUGCACCCUACAAACACUGAGGUCUCUUCUCCCACAGGUUACCCUUUCACCAAGAGAUGGAUACAUGAGUAGAUACUGAGAUAUCUGAUCAUGUGGGGUAAGGUACCAUGAAGCAAGUGGUGCUACUAAUUUCAGUGCAAGCAUUUUCAAACACACAACCCCCGCAAAAAAAAAAAAAAAAAAAAAAAAAGCUCAGCCUGAGAAAAGAACUACUGAUGCAUGUAUUAAUGUAUUACUCUGUUCUUUCAGGAAUCAUUCCUUUCUGUCAUACUGCUGUCCCUUUCACUAUUGUAGCUGGCCAGUUAGCUAACCUUCCUCCAAUUUUUGUGAAUACCAUUCCUGGACUGAGAUCUGUAGAGCUGAACACAGUAGUCAAGGUACAGCUGCAGGGAGACUGUUCACAGGCAAUUAGUAACUUGUUCUACUGUGUUCUGUCUCUUCAUGCGUACACUGAGAUCCCAGACUCAAUGAGUCUCUUAUUUUGUUGCAAUAUUAUCUAUGAAUUUGCAAUUUUUUCUGGACAAACUUAAAACUUUAUGCUAAGGGUUGAGGUUUUUUCCUGAUACGCUCAACCAACUUGGAGACAAUUUAAAUUCCAAAGAACAAUGUAAAAAUACUCUAGGUGAUGCAACUGCUCAGCUUACAUGCCUCAAUCAUUUUUUUUUCAGUAUGUUUAAGGGUGGUUUUCCCACAUAAAAUGACCAAUUCAAAACUGAGGACUUGGAAAAUAAGCAAAAAGAGUGCUUUAUAAUUCUAUUUCUAUUCCUUUUGAGGUAGAAUUCUUAAGAAAUUUUGUAACAAUUAAAGAUAAAACAAUUCUGGACUAAACUUUUUUUGUUUCUAAACUGACUACUUCCUCUUAAGUUCUGCAUGUAUCAGUUCCUGAAGUCUUAUCUGAUAAGUUUUUGUGGGGUUCCUUAAGUGCAACAUAUAUUUUAACUUCCCGUAUUAAGUGCUGCCAACUCACUUUAGUAUAAGAAUGUGUUUAAGUCUACUUAGAACUGUCACAUGCUCUAAUAAUGUUACUGAAGUGAGUUCCAUUAAUGUAACUUUAAAAGGCAGGAGCCUUGCCUGCAGAGACAAGUGGACAACUUUCACUCACAAUUCAGUAGGAUUUGUGUUCACUUAAGCAAAAGGGGAAGCAGGGAUCUUUCACUGGUUUUGUUUUUCAGAACGCGGCACACAAAAGCGAUUCAUAUUUGCUGAGCUCUGCAAACCCCAUGCACAGAAACAUGCCAUCAAAGCAGGCAAAACAUGAGAAAAUCGCAGAAAAAAAUGGAAAUAAAACAACAUACUGAUUUACAGUAGAGUGUUUUGGGAACAUUACAGAAACUUUUGCCUUAUGAAAGAUACAGUCUGAUGUUAAUCAAACUGGGUUAGGGCAGACAAGCAGGCAGGGCACUAGAAAACAACUCUAACAAUGGAGUAGAGGCAUAUUGUCUUGUCUAAAGGCUCCAUGUGUUUGAGUUAAGUGGUAGCAGCAGCUUGGCUCCCAGCUCCUUAAUUAGGCUUCUUCUCAUUAUUCUUCCAGUCAUAGUUUCAUAAGUGAUCAAACAGUUAAAAUAAGCAGUGUUCAGAACAGCAACAUUAUCUGCUUCUACAAACUUCCCCUGCUCCCCUCCUUGACAGAGUCCAGUACUGGUUCUAGAGUUUACCUGAUGCCUGAGAAAUUGUGUCUCAGACUGAGCUAUUUAAUGAGUAUAAAGUCUCCACAGUUUCUCCUGAUGAAAGCACUGGAUCAGGACCACCUAUAGUUAGACACAAGUGAGGCACUCUUGAGUUAGCCUGCUUACACACUGCUUACAGCUCAGUAUUCUUGUAUCAAGAGAUGUGCAGCCUCAUGACCCACAAAGCCAGGUAGGAAGGUGCUAUAUUGGUUACGACAGAUGGACUUGGAUCUAACAAUGUAAAUGAUAAAUUCCCAAAUAGUUCUUUAUCAAAUGGGGAGGGGAAAAAAAUCCUAUGUAGGAAAGGAAGAGAAAAAAAGAAUGCAUUUCAUUUUCUUAUAUCACUAUGUGACAGUUUCAUACUACAUAAAUUGUGCACUCCAAAACCUUUACAGUUCACACUGCUCUGGCUUGCUCAUGAGGCCACACUCCAUGUAAUUAUCAGCCAAACCACAUCAGUAAACCGUUUCUGAUAGCAUAAUAACUUGCCUUCAGCAUUUUUCUUUUAAGCUCUAGACUUCUGCUUAUAUUUAUUUACUCUGACAAUGCUGUUCAGUUGCUACUUUGUAAAGUUAGAUAUUAGCAAUGCCAGAAGAGCUGGAAAGUUCAUAAAACAGUGGCCUCUAGAGAAGACUGCAUAGUUUUAUAUUGUUAGUUGAUAUUAUUCAACAGAAACACAACACAGCAUGGUGGUGCUUAAAUCCUUACUAAAUUCACUGGGAUUUUAUCUGAAGUAAGGAGGUGAAAACACAAUGCAAGCUUUUCAACAUCUGAAAUUUAGCAUUUACAGGUUUUCUGUAAAUGCUAAUCUCCAAGUCUCUUGAAUGUUAAUCCAUGGCCACAGUCAAACACAGUUAAAAUGUCCAAAGAAAAUAAACUGGAGUAAUUGCUUAGACCUCAAACAACUGCAGAAGCAGGUAUUAACAGAUACUCUACGAUGAAGCUCAUCACUUUUUCUGCCAUCAAUCAAUUAAUUGCUCAGCUCUGGCAGAAUUUGCUGCAAGUGUAACAAUGUAGCAGCCAAAACAUUUCACAGCUGAGUCCAGUAGGGACAAAUGUAGCAAAGGCUUUGAGCAGCUGCACCUUCCACACCACCUUUUAAGCAAUACCUCUGCAUCUUUGUGAUGUAGGUAUUUCAUUUUUAUCUGUUUUGAAAUUAGGUUUCCCUUUAAUGACAGAGUGUCCCUCUGAGUCUGUAUUCUCUAGCUAACUUGCAAACUGAAAUGGAUUUAUAAUGAUGAAUGAAAAGGAAACUUGUGACUAUUUCAUGUUCAAUUAGAUCUGCUUAUCAAUUUUAUAAUGCAAUGAGAAUGAAUUGUCAUAAUCAGUCAAAACCCUUUCAAAGAAAAUUGAGUUAUAACUACAGCAUACAAAAAAAUCACAUUAAUACAGCCACCACAUAUGCAUUUAAAGAAGAAAGACAGAAAGAGAGAAAGACAGAAAGAAAGAGACUAUUUAUGGAUACUUCUGUCCAUGCUCAGUGGUAAAACAAGAAUGCUGGCAGGGUAUCAUUCUCCCAUUGCUUCCACCAAAUACCUUUAUGGAUGCUUACUAGAGAAGAGAAAAUGAGAGUUUCAAAUGCCUGGACAGCUAAAUAAAGCUCUAGUUAGACAGUGCUUCGCAGGAAGCUGUAAACAAUAUUCAAGCCCCUAAAAGCUCCCAAGAGCUAUGAAAUCACUAGCACUAACUGAUUUUGUUUGAUCCUUUAUCCCAACAAGUGAGAGUGACACAGGUAAGACCGAAGACAGUUUCCUAUCAGAAAGGCUUUCUGGACUUUUAUGGACUGAAAUAUGCAGUAAACCAAGUGUUAAAAUGUCUAUUCCAUCUGCAGUCAUUAAAUAAAACCCUAAACAAUUCAGGAGUUCAGUCAUAGUUUAAAGAAGACAACACAUUUAAGCUGUAGAAUAGUAUACUUUAAGUUUGCUUUUUCUGUACAGUUCCUGUCAGUGCUAAGAUGUUAUCUUAAAACAAAGGGCUGCCAUUAUGUGUGUCUUUGCUUGUGCUACAGCUCUGAUAUGCACAAAUCUGGGACUUUUACACUCAUGUUUUUCACAAGUUCCAGAAGAAGCUGGAUUGAGGCUUGUGCAAACACCAUCUGCCAAAUCUUAUCAGAAAUGUUUCCCCUACUCUGUCCACAAAAAAAAAGUGAAGGUGUUUGAAAGCUCCUGGAGGUAUGAAAGAGGCAGACUGGCACUGCUACUAGCCAAAGACUGCCCAAAAAUACCUUGGCCAAGAAUGGGGGAUAGUGGGACAGCCUACAAGAUGUGCCAAUCUCCUGUAUGUUUGACUUACAGACUUCUUAAGCUGAGCUCUUCAGAAAUCUCAAGUGAUUGUGCUCCUGCUGCUUCAUCAAAGAGCAAGAAGAAUGGAGAAACCUAAUGCCUUGGAAGGGGCCAAACUGCAGGUCAGGGACCUUUGUAGGAAAGGAAAACUCCAAAGGCAAAUGUCUUCAUGCCUUUAUCUAGUUCUAUCUUGACAUAGAGAUUUUGAAAUGUAGUAUCCUCGGAAAGUUAAACAUUCAGCUCUUUUUAAAUAAGUCUAUCACUAGUGACUUCAGCGUUGCAUCACUUCACACUGGCAGAAUAACCAGUUCUUUUAAGUCUUUGAAAUGGCACAGAAUGAGAUUUUUUAAAAGGAGUACCACGUGGGCUGUACUAUCUUUUCAGGAAAAUAAAUGUUACUGCAUGAAAAGGUUGAUUAUAUUUCUUUAGAAUGUUCAAGGAAGCUUCUGAAAAUACAUUUAUUUUAAGGAAUGAGAAGGAAAAUAAGUUGCUUAAUUAUGACAUUACACAAAACACACUAUUGAAGUGAAAUGAUAAAUUUGUGACUGCAUAAUAUCCUGUAUGAGAGUAGUAUCCUUUAUUUGAAAAAAAAAAAAAAGGGGGGGGUGGAAUUAAUUGUAAUGGGAUCUCUCUCAGAAGAAAAGGAUUUCGUUAUUGGUUUUGCCUUGACAUUUAACAGUAAGCUUUUUUCCUCUGUGGUGCAUAUAUGCAGCAGCAGCACUUUUAACCUCCCAUAAAACACAUAGUGUUUAGUCUAAGAUGAAGCAAAUAAAUUAGGUCUCCACAAGCAAAUGUGUCAUCUUGACACAUAGCUAAAAUACUGUCCUGCACUGAUCAGAACCAAAAUGUUCCUCCUGCUCUGACCCCUUCUUGAAAAUAACAGUAAUCAGUUCAAUAGCCCCAUCUCACUGAUGGGACUUUCUCAUGGUACGCUGAAAACAAGGAACUGCAACUUACCACUUACUGGGAAAACAACUGUUUAAAAUCAAAUACGUAUUCAAAAUGCUUCUCUGUAUGGGAAGAUUUGAGCAAUUCAUAAAUUUCACCCAUUCCUAAUGAUUUUAACCAGUUGUUCUCAACUCUCUUUGGGUGUCUCAAUUUGUUUUAAACCAAAACUAUACCAGCCAUUCCUCAAUGCAACUCCCACAAGCUCACUGCACUUGUAUGGAACCCUCAAACUCCAUACAAGGUUUGAGCAUCAAUAAUUGCAGGAGUGGCAGGAAAUGUUAAUUUACAGAGCUGCAUCUCUGAGAUAAGGAGAACAAAUUCUGCCUGAAAAAGCAAGUGGGAUUGGAGAGUAUGCCAUAGUCUUGAGGAAAUGUUAAGCUUAUUGCCUGAUACUCACAGAAUUGAUUAUCCCCUUAAGUGCUUGGAAUCCUCCAGUGACAGGGAAGACUUGCUCUUUCGUGUCAGCAAUUUUUUCAAGCUUUGGAGAGAGAACACAUGCAAACAUGUGAGUCAUUUGGCAAAUUAAAUACAUCACACUGCUUUUCAGCCUUAAAAUGUAAAUGGCUGUCUAAAAACAACUCCCAUCAACUUGGCAAAGAGAAGGAAUUUUUUUAGUUCCCUCACAGCUAACUAUGUGUCUUCUAAAACAAACUUGCAGAUGUCCCUGCUCAUUGCAGGGUGGGGUUAGACUAGAUGACCUUUAUAGGUCCCUUCUAAACUAUUCUAUAAUUCUAAAUGGGAGGACUUAACUACAACCUAAUGCAGCUAACAAAAUGGUAUAGUGGAUAGCCAUCAUGUCAAACCACCACAUGAAAUAAACCUUUCAGAGCCUGUAUCUUGGCAGUGAUUUUGCAGCAGUUUCCAGAAUUACCUCCCCUAUUUGCUGUGCCUUCCAUUAAAAAGCCUUUCUAUGGCCCUUGUAUAUUAACAAGUCUUCUGUGUACUUCUCCAUUUAAGUCACUUUCCCAGUACAAGAGUAGCUACAUCCCCGAUUAGGACACAGCAGCUCUGGAAGAACUAUCAGGCAAUGAAAGACAUGGACCCUUCUUAUCCCAAAGUUGUUAUAUACUCUGCUUGAAGUUUGUUUAUAACUACUCUGUUAAUGCGACCUGUAGCCUAAUUUAGUCACCACCUUAAUGAAAGUGGUUUUGCCUGCAUCCUUUACUGCUGGCAGCUACCAGUCAGCAAGGGUAUUUCCUGUGGGUCUUCUCAGCAAUGAAGGUGACACGCAUUCUAUUUAUGUCCAUGUACACAUCUGAGUGUCUGCUUCCUAAGCCUCAGUGCCUAAUGUAAGUAAAAUUAAUUUAUAUAUUAUUUAACAUUAACUGUAUAAAACCCUGACAAGAUACUGCCUAGUAGCCUAAAAUGCUAAUGUUCUUACCUGUUCUUGUACAAAACCAAGGACGCCAACACAGUACACUCUAGCUCCCAGUUCUCUGGAUUUCUUUGCCUGCCCCAGAAUAGAACAGAGGAAUAAGAAUUUUUUUCAUUCAAUAGACAGCACACAAACUUUUCAGAAUAUAACAUGCAUUUAUUUACAUCUAGCACUUACCUCUUUCUCUGCAUACAAGGGAAUCUGACCAUCUAGUUUGCCAUCUGUCAAUGCAAUGAUGAUACUAGAAAACCUUGAGGCUCCUUGCUUCGCAAUUUGCACAUUGGCCUGAAAACAGAAAAUAUUUAUGCAGCUUAAAAUUACACUUGAACUUUUAACCAAAAUACUUCUUCUAAGCGAACAUAGUAUCUGAAACAAUGCUGAAGUCUUAUCUUCAAACCCAUCUCUUGUGACAAUCUUCUGUCUCUCUUUUACUCUUUACUAACAAGGAAGUCAUUCAUCAGUAUUUUUCAGUCAGUGGUCAGCCCACCUCCAAAGUGCUGGGGUCACUAACUGAUUAACCCUUGGAAACACUUGAUUAUUUCAGGAUGGAUACCCUGUGAGUUGUCAAGAUCACUUCUCCUUACAUCCACCAUAAGGUUUCCUUUGCUACUCCUCAGAUUUCAAAUGCCAGUCAAUAGGUUCCAAGAUACAAGAAUGGCUUAAAAUAUAUAUAUUUUUAAACAGCAAGAAACUUCUGUUUGCCUAGCUUUUCAGCCUGCAGAUCACAAUUACAAACUGGGCUCCACAGGCAUAGAGGAAAAAAAUUAGUUUCUAUUCCUAAUAGUGAAAGUUUGGAUCCUUACCUUCAGGGCCCAAGUCUGAGCAAAAUGGCAAAACAUACUUUAACUGUAUGUCUGAAGAAAAUAUAAGCAGUUGGAACUCCAUAAUUUGGAUAGUCCAAAAUUAAGACCCUUUAUCUUGAAAACGGUGAUCUGUGCAGUAAACUCUCCAUAAGCAUGUGCUCUAGAAAGUACGGUUACACUCACAGCCCUACAAAGCUGUGUGUGACCAUUUACCAGUAAUAACUGGUAUGCUGCAUUAGCUGUUUGAUUGAUAACAAAGAAUCACUCGCUAUUGCGAAGGAUCAAGUCAAACAAAUUCCAUAUGGAAAUUUUCUGUGAUGGUUAAUCUUCUGCAUGGGAUUUGCAUAGUAUCUGAGCAAUCUUGGGACCAUUUUGAAAACCAAAAAGAUUUGAUUGUAACAGAUUGAGACAUAAAACCAAUCCAUUUAUGUUACAGGUUGCUGUUGUUAUCCAGAUAGUGAGAAGAGAGGAUAUUUUGAUUGCAAGAAGAUAAGUAAAGCCUACCUGUUUUAAUCCUUCAUGUAUGUAUGUAUCACCUGCUGGUUUUACCUCUUCCAAAUCCUUGAGACCUUUCUUGAUUUUCUCUCUGAAAAGGAAAAGGUAAAAGACUGUUAGUAUGAUUUGAAACAGGGAAAGGGGUUAGUUUAUUGAUGGAAAAAUCAGUAUUUGACAUAAGGGAGGUCUGAAAUUAAAAUCUGUAAAAUAUAGCAUUCAGCUGAGAUACCACGCGGAGGCAGAUUUUAUAUUCACAAUGGGAGCAGCAAUGUGGUAACGGAUAUUUUAGACCUAAAUAACACAAUAUGCCUUAGUGAGACAAAGAGCUAGAUUCAAGUAAAAUGUUUCAGACAGAGCAGAUAUUGCAAAGAAGUGGCAAACCCUCAGCAUAAAGAUAGCCCAAUGGAAAUUCUGUUAUAUUAAGUCUACUUUGCUCAAUUAAAUGAACUUCACUUCCAAUCAUGCUGCAAUUAAAAAAGAAAACCCUUAAAACAGCUGUUCUAUAUCUAGAAUAAGCUUCCAGGUCAAUAUACAGGUAUUUAAUGGGGUACGGCAGAAUCACAAUAAUUAAAAUCCUCUCCUUAAAAAAUGCACCAUUUGCAAGACAACUCUUGUAUCCAACGAAAGGGACCAGGAUUAAAGAUAGUUUUAAAUUUCUCAGCUGUCGCUACCUUUCUGUGUGACCUUUGACAAGACAUCACACUUACACAGGUUGCAGCUCACUUAUGUUUAACCAGAGGAUGAAGUUGUGCCAUUAUUUCUCAUGGGCUUUUAAAUAAAUCCAUCACUGACUGCGACAUGCUCAGUUAACUAUGAUGGUAAGACUGGAGAAGCACAUAGGUAGCACAAAAGGAACUAUUUCCAGUGAAAUCAAUAUGAGUGGGGAAAAAAGGCAGAGAGACUUUACUGAAAGAAUCAAAUCUGGAAGUUUUUAAUUAUUAUACAAAGUUCUAGUGAAGCUUGUGGAAAGUUGUUCUAGGGAAGGACAAGCAAAAAAUAAGCAGAGAAAAAAUCUGGGCCAGAAUGUAUAAAACACUAUAACAAAUACAGGUGACACAGAGGAAACCAUCAGGGGUGAGGAGAUGGAGGGAAAAUACAUUAUAGGAAGCGUGAAAGCUUUCCUUAGGGUAAACAAAAUGAGAAAGAAUGCAUAUGUUGCUCUGCCUGAAUGCCACCCACAAGUCAUUUGUUCCACUGAUGGGCUUCCUCUAUGUUUAGAAGCUCUGUUCCAAAGUACAAUCCAUAGCUGUAAUAAGCUUCCAAUCACAGGAUCAACUGAUAUGAUUGGGAAGCAGGUGGGGAAAAAAAAAAAAGAAAGAAAAAGAAAAAAAAAAGUGGCAUUGAAUAUAUGGACGAGAACAAAUUAUGUAAGAUAAUACAAUCUGUUUGAUCCAAAUAUUUUACAUUCUGCAUCUAAAGAAACAACUUGAAACUGAUUAUGUAUGAACGCAGAUUAUAAACCAUUCAUGCUUGCCAGAAAUGAGCGGCAGCACAUCACAGGCAUUAGUGUUCUGCUGCCAAGAAACAAGCAGCAAGUGAAGUCCCAGUUUUCUGAAACAGAUUUCAUUUUGCAAAAAUAGCUUUUGUACAAUCGCUUCAGUUUUACUUAUUUAAAAUGUCUUGUGACCCAGUCACACAGAAGUCUCUGGUGUUUCCAGGCCUCUGACUACAAGAGGUUCCAGGAAAAUCUUUGGUGGCAUGAGCUUGUUUAGCUGCAUUUAAUCAGUCACCCUCUCUUUCCCUUGGGGCACAUCUGUACCACAUAGGCCCAGCCAGGUGUGAACAAGCUCCACCCAUGCUCUGAGUUGAUUAGGUACCAGCGAGUCUUGGCCUGGGUGUCACAAGGCCAAUGCACAUGCAUGACUUUGACCCCAGCAAAUGAGCCCCACCAGACAUCAAGAGAGGUUAGUUCAGUCAUACUAAAACUCACACUGAGCAGGCCUGGAGGGUGGGCACAGGAGUUCAUGUGUGCCUGAACCAUAUUGAUAAUGGGACACACUUUAGUCAAUCAGCCAUAGCACUCUGAAGCCCUCAUUCCAUCUCUCCAGUGCUCUCAAAACUCUCUUUUCCCUAGUUUUUGUAAUAUUUUUUGUAGUUAUAAAAUCUACGGAAAAAGUCUAGUUUUAAAACUCAUCUGUACUGAAAUAACCUCAAGUUCCAGUAUAAGUUGGGGAAUGAUCUAUUAGAGAGCAGCAUAGGAGAAAGGGACCUGGGGGUCCUGGUGGACAGCAGGAUGACCAUGAGCCAGCACUGUGCCCCUGUGGCCAAGAAGGCCAAUGACAUCCUGGGGUGUAUUAGAAGAGGAGUGGUUAGUAGGUUGAGAGAGGUUCUACUUCCCCUCUACUCUGCCCUGGUGAGACCACACCUGGAAUAUUGUGUCCUGUUCUGGGCCCCUCAGUUCAAGGACAGGGAACUGCUGGAGAGAGUCCAGCGCAGAGCCACGAAGAUGAUGAAGGGAGUGGAGCAUCUGCCUUAUAAGGAAAGGCUGAGGGAGCUGGGUCUCUUUAGCUUGGAGGAGACUGAGGGGUGACCUUAUUAAUGUUUACAAAUAUAUAAAGGGUGAGUAUCAUGAGGAUGACACUUGGUGACAACCAAUAGUAGGACGAGGGGUAAUGGGUUAAAACCGGACCACAAGAGGUUCCACUUAAAACUGAGAAGAAACUUCUUCUCAGUAAGGGUAUAAGAACACUGGAACAGGCUGCCCAGGGGGGUUGUGGAGCCUCCUUCCCUGGAGACAUUCAAAACUCUCUUGGACACAUUCCUGUGUGACCUCAUCUAAGUGUUCCUGCUCCAGCAGGGGGAUUGGACUAGAUCAUUUUUCGAGGUCCCUUCUAAUCCCUUACAUUCUGUGAUUUUAUGAUAAUAGAACUGUGACCCCAGUCUGGGUGUCUGGACAUUACCACAGUACAAUUCAGUAGCAGUGAUAAAGGUCAAAGUGUCAUUGGCUUUGUGGUUUAAGUCAAACAAUGGAGGGAGGUGCAAAAAGCAUAACAAAACCAGCAACUUGAGCCUGUCUGUGUUUGGGCUCAAUUACUACAAAUUUAAUAUCUCUUCUCCAUUCAGCAUAUGCACUGCAUUACACCUCUGUAUUUUAGAAAAGGCACAUCUAAUUUUUAAUAGUAUCCCUGUCUGUUCUCUCUUUAAAUUUUGUACCUACUUCAGGUAAUUCUUCCAGCAGCAGCCAGGAAACACAACCAUGGCUACAAGCUCUCUGUCAGUUUGAUCUGUGGGUUCUUUUUACCUAUUCCAUGAACAGGGGCUGCAGCUGAAAUCCCAGCCCGGCUGAGAUCAGGAAAGGUUCUGGUGGUAGCUUCAGCAGUACCCGCUGGUUUUAUCUCUUUGAGCAACUCUGCUGUAGGUUGUCUCGGAGGGCAGGAACUUGCACCAGUAUUGGACAGAGGGCUUGUUUGCUAUCAGAGAGACUGUGCCAGCUCUGCUGCGAGGUAUAUGAGCCUAUCUACAAAUACUGCUCCCUACAUGGGACAAAUUCUACACUGAACUUGUCUUGCACCAUCAGUGUUUCACCAAGACAGGGCACUAUAGAAUUAUAUUUAGAAAUGAGAACAUACCAUUUAGUAAAGAGAGAUUACAAAGCAGCCCAGCUUUUCAAACAACCUAAUCCAUUUAAGAUAAAUUAAAAUGUAGCAACCUCUCCUUACCUGAGCAUGUGUCCUGGUUUUGUUAAAAACAAGACCAGUUUCUCUUUUAGUGAAUUUUCCUUUCAGCUGAGUUCUUCUAAGUAAUUGCACUUCUCUGAAGUUGGCUACAUAUUUUUGUAAACAGACAUAGCAAUGGAAUGCAAGGUCACUGAUAAGGAUGCAUGUCCCGUAAGUGAGAGGGGCAAGGAGGAGUGAACUGAGCAAGUGACUAAAACUGACCAACUAAGUAUUCCAUCCCAUCCACGUGAUACUUCACAUAAAAGUGGGAGAUCACGAGGGUCUUGUUCUUCUUUGACUAUGGCCAGCAUCUAGGGAGGACCCUGUUCGCCAUCCCUGCAAUCUGAGGCCUAGUGACAGACCCUGCAUCCUUUAAUCCAGUUCACUGCAGAGUCCAAACCAGGACUUCCAGGUGCCUGCCCUGAAGCUGCUGGAGCAGUGCUGAGCUUUGCCAGGAAAUUCAAGAAUGGUUUUGUAUAUUUUGUAUUAUUUUCUCUAUUUUACUAGUAGAAUUAGUAAAACAUUUUUAAUUCUUUACAACUUGCAAGUCCUCUCUCUCUUUGCCUCUCUUUGCCCUCCUGUUGCCUUUCCUUAGCGGGGGGCCGGAGGGGGGACUAAGGGGAAUGGGAAAGGGGAGUGGCUUAACAAAGCAUCUGCCAUGGUUUAUUGUCACCCUGCAUUAAACGGUGACAGCAUGCUCCACAAUUCAGAUCUGCUUUAAAUGUAAACAUUUGCCUUUCAGAGUUGGAGCAUGCCAAAGCAACUAUCAGCAGAAGUUUACAGGGGAGGUUUCUCUCUGCAUAAGCUCUGUUUCACCAAGCUGCAAGCUUUUAUUUAGGCAACUCAACAGACAUGAAAAAAUACUGAAGACGUAUCUACAGAUGUUUUUUUUACAAAAGCAAAAGCAAGACAUGUUUCUCCUGCUGUGCCAAGGAAGAUGCAGAGAUGAAAAAAUUAUUUUUAGUUGCUCUGCAAAGCAAUGGCAGAGUUCACAUCAAGAAUUUAUUCCACAUCAUUGUUCUCCUUACUUUUUCACUAGGAUAUCCAUUGAUAUGUUCACAAAAUUAAAUCCAGCCCUACACAGAGGGUUCAUGACUGGCCACCACUUAAAGGUAUAGGUUAUUUUUCAGUAUCUGUUACUGUUCCUCUGAUUGAAUAAGAGUCCUUGGGCGGAGAGGAGGGAGUGGGAGAAUUAAAAAAGCAGUGCACUGACCUGUCUCCAGUUAAUGGCAUAAUGACGUGUGCCUGGGUGGAAAACACGAUAAAUGAUAAUCUCAUCUUGGGGCUUUUAAAAAAAGGGAAGAAAACAAGCAAACAAACAACAUUUUAAACAAAUUAAAAUAAAUGCACAGAUGCAUAGAAUUUCAUUUGCUUAUUCAUGCUUCAUUAGUAUCAUCUUUAUCCUCCAGCUUCUAAAGAACAUACUUUCAACUACAAACACAGAAUGAGAGAGGAAUUAAAAGGUAUCUGCCCAUUUACUCCUUACUGAGAUACUUUGAGAAUGAAGUAGCAGAAUUAUUCUUUCUUGCCUGACUGGACUCCAGAUCACGACAUGCUAAACUUAAGAGUUAAGAUCUCAUUGCAACCUAACUGAAAAUGAAUUUCACAGGUUAUGAUCUACCAAAGUACAAAAGGGCCAGCCCAGCUUCGAAGAGCAGCGAUUAGGAACCGGACGGAGAGAGAGGACUUUCGGAGGUGUGAGUGCUCGCCGUGCAGCCUCGCGGGGCCGAGACUCCCGCAGCUGGACGAAGCCCACCCAUACCCGGGGUUCGCCUUGGUUUGUGCAAAUUUUAAAAGUCCACAAGAGCUGACAAAACUGUUUGCAACGGACUAGAAGUACCUUAUUCCAUGCUGACAAUGAAAACUCAUAAUUAAAACAGGACCUGUGGCUCUCCAAGCUUUUCUUACUUUGGGAGGGCAGGCAUGUCGCCUCAUACAUUUCUCUGAACUGCUUCCUCACUGGGAUUUGAUGCUCAACCUAUCCAUUAAGUCACUGUGUGUCAACUACCCCUAUGAGAUUUAACUUUUUUUUUUUUUUUAAUAAAUUAUUAAAGGAGUUGUUCACUUUCUGAGCAUUCAUUUUAGUUGUUUGCCAGGGGCGCUGAACAUUUUUCUAAACCAGCAGCCAUCUAAAAAACUGUUGCAAACCAUGUUGCCAUGCAUGUUAGCCAUUUUCUACAAUAUAUCCAAACUGUUGCUCUGGGACUGUGCGUGUGGUAACCACCAACACGUACUGAUUUACAAUAGACUCCGCAAAACUAAAUAUAGAGCAGACAUUUGGUUUGAAGCAUAAGCUGGAUCCUUCACAGUAAACAUGAGGCACUGUAGAAAGCGUCACUUUAUGCUGUGAGAAUAUUAUCUUUCAGAUUUUUCCAUCUGUGGUUUCAGAUUUUCACAGGAAGUUCAAAUGUGCUUAAUAAUCUUAAAAUAUUAUCUAAAGGCUAAGUAGAUGCCUGAAUUUUCUGUGAAGAAAAAUUUUAGUCAUGUGACAAACUGCCUAAACCAAAAUUAUCUUGUAAGUUAAAAAUAAACAUCUAGCCUCUAUUUCUUUGUUUCUCUUCUGAAGCUUUUGCCAUGAGUGCUAUGUGACAAGCAAUUAAGAGGAUCUGAAAAAAUAAAAAAAUAUUAUUCUUUCUUUCA
Columba livia (rock pigeon) is the source of this 17648-nucleotide long non-coding RNA. RefSeq lists it as uncharacterized. NCBI's taxonomy places the organism in Eukaryota, Metazoa, Chordata, Aves, Columbiformes, Columbidae. The record is from RefSeq and is a predicted model, not a curated record. The transcript is spliced from 5 exons.